CAGUUUAUACCGUAGCUUGCUACACCAUAGACUGUGAGUUGCGAACGGGUGAGUAACGCGUAGGUAACCUACCUAUUAGAGGGGGAUAACUAUUGGAAACGAUAGCUAAUACCGCAUAACAGUAUGUAACACAUGUUAGAUGCUUGAAAGAUGCAAUUGCAUCGCUAGUAGAUGGACCUGCGUUGUAUUAGCUAGUAGGUAGGGUAAUGGCCUACCUAGGCAACGAUACAUAGCCGACCUGAGAGGGUGAUCGGCCACACUGGGACUGAGACACGGCCCAGACUCCUACGGGAGGCGGCAGUAGGGAAUCUUCGGCAAUGGGGGGAAUCCUGACCGAGCAACGCCGCGUGAGUGAAGAAGGUUUUCGGAUCGUAAAGCUCUGUUGUUAAGGAAGAACGAGUGUGAGAAUGGAAAGUUCAUGCUGUGACGGUACUUAACCAGAAAGGGACGGCUAACUACGUGCCAGCAGCCGCGGUAAUACGUAGGUCCCGAGCGUUGUCCGGAUUUAUUGGGCGUAAAGCGAGCGCAGGCGGUUAGAAAAGUCUGAAGUGAAAGGCAGUGGCUCAACCAUUGUAGGCUUUGGAAACUGUUUAACUUGAGUGCAGAAGGGGAGAGUGGAAUUCCAUGUGUAGCGGUGAAAUGCGUAGAUAUAUGGAGGAACACCGGUGGCGAAAGCGGCUCUCUGGUCUGUAACUGACGCUGAGGCUCGAAAGCGUGGGGAGCGAACAGGAUUAGAUACCCUGGUAGUCCACGCCGUAAACGAUGAGUGCUAGGUGUUAGGUCCUUUCCGGGACUUAGUGCCGCAGCUAACGCAUUAAGC
RNAcentral lists this ribosomal RNA (820 nucleotides) under uncultured bacterium. RNAcentral describes it as "bacterial SSU rRNA". It matches the Rfam family "Bacterial small subunit ribosomal RNA", at positions 59 to 865 of the family's 1533-position model. The record is from RNAcentral.